Budorcas taxicolor (takin) is the source of this 73-nucleotide non-coding RNA. The record is from the annotation of a RefSeq genome assembly. NCBI's taxonomy places the organism in Eukaryota, Metazoa, Chordata, Mammalia, Artiodactyla, Bovidae.
UCCAUGGUGGUCCAGCGGCUAAGACUCUGUACUACCAAUGCAGAGGAUCUAGGUUCAAUCCCUGGUCAGGGAA